UACAGAGACUGCAAGCGUUAUUCGGAUUCACUGGGCGUAAAGGGUGCGCAGGCGGCCGUGUGUGUCAGAUGUGAAAUCCCGGGGCUUAACUCCGGAACUGCGUCUGAAACUACACGGCUAGAGCAUUGGAGAGGGUAGUGGAAUUCACGGUGUAGCAGUGAAAUGCGUAGAUAUCGUGAGGAACACCAGAGGCGAAGGCGACUACCUGGACAAUAGCUGACGCUCAGGCACGAAAGCGUGGGGAGCCAAAGGG
Molecule: ribosomal RNA, 253 nt
Filed under: uncultured bacterium
Lineage: Bacteria
Description: partial 16S ribosomal RNA
Rfam family: Bacterial small subunit ribosomal RNA
Source: RNAcentral